AGGAAACCUGAAGCAGCUGAUGUUUUUUGAUGGCUGCAAGAACUGCCUGCAGAGCCUGCCCCCGGAGAUAGAAGGCUGCGUUUCAUUGGCUGACCUCCAUCUGACAACCAAUCAGAUCACAACUUUCCCUGACUCCAUCUGUAACCUUAGCAACCUGACUACACUCAAAGCAGACGACAACUGUCUCACAUGUUUACCAGAUAACAUGGGGGAACUUCAGUCCCUGUCUGAACUGAAUGUGAGCGCCAACACUCUGACAGAGUUACCUCCACUCUGGGCCUGUUGAGAUACCUCCGAACCUUGUACGCUGAUGACAAUGAUCUCACAUAUCUUCCUGCUGAGCUGGGCAGCUGCAGUGGUAUAACAGUGCUGUCUCUGCGUAGUAACAAGCUGACAUAUGUGCCGGACGAACUGGGCCGUAUUCCCCGUCUCCGUGUCCUCAACCUCAGCACCAACCAGCUUGAGUGUCUGCCUUUCACCAUCACCAAGUGUAAGGAGCUUCAGGCUCUUUGGCUCUCGGAAAACCAGACACGCCCACUGGUUCCUCUGCAAUCAGACCAUGAGCCUGUGAGUAGGAAGAUCCUCCU
This is a long non-coding RNA of Mya arenaria, 587 nucleotides long. RefSeq lists it as uncharacterized. NCBI's taxonomy places the organism in Eukaryota, Metazoa, Mollusca, Bivalvia, Myida, Myidae. The transcript has 4 exons. The record is from RefSeq and is a predicted model, not a curated record.